CUUUGCCGGCGAGCGGCGGACGGGUGAGUAAUGUCUGGGAAACUGCCUGAUGGAGGGGGAUAACUACUGGAAACGGUAGCUAAUACCGCAUGACCUCGAAAGAGCAAAGUGGGGGAUCUUCGGACCUCACGCCAUCGGAUGUGCCCAGAUGGGAUUAGCUAGUAGGUGAGGUAAUGGCUCACCUAGGCGACGAUCCCUAGCUGGUCUGAGAGGAUGACCAGCCACACUGGAACUGAGACACGGUCCAGACUCCUACGGGAGGCAGCAGUGGGGAAUAUUGCACAAUGGGCGCAAGCCUGAUGCAGCCAUGCCGCGUGUGUGAAGAAGGCCUUAGGGUUGUAAAGCACUUUCAGCGAGGAGGAAGGCAUCACACUUAAUACGUGUGGUGAUUGACGUUACUCGCAGAAGAAGCACCGGCUAACUCCGUGCCAGCAGCCGCGGUAAUACGGAGGGUGCAAGCGUUAAUCGGAAUUACUGGGCGUAAAGCGCACGCAGGCGGUUUGUUAAGUCAGAUGUGAAAUCCCCGCGCUUAACGUGGGAACUGCAUUUGAAACUGGCAAGCUAGAGUCUUGUAGAGGGGGGUAGAAUUCCAGGUGUAGCGGUGAAAUGCG
Molecule: ribosomal RNA, 611 nt
Filed under: Rahnella sp.
Lineage: Bacteria; Pseudomonadati; Pseudomonadota; Gammaproteobacteria; Enterobacterales; Yersiniaceae
Description: bacterial SSU rRNA
Rfam family: Bacterial small subunit ribosomal RNA
Source: RNAcentral